Molecule: non-coding RNA, 2091 nt
Organism: Danio rerio (zebrafish)
Lineage: Eukaryota; Metazoa; Chordata; Actinopteri; Cypriniformes; Danionidae
Source: RefSeq, a predicted model, not a curated record
GAGUAGAGUUUAAAAUCUGUAAUUUUACUUUUACUUAAGUAUGAUUUGCCUAAAGUAUUGUACUUCGCUACAUUUUAAAUCAUAUGCGUUACUGAGUAAAAAAUAAAUAUAUAAAGAAAUGCAACGGAAAAAGAAAAAAGAAAUCGCGCCCGGAAAUUACGUCACUGUAGCACCAGCGUGAGAAAAAUCUGCGGGAAACUUCACUGUUGCUGAAGUUUGAUGUAUCGCCGGAGUUUAGAAAGUUUAUCAGCAAAAUCCCUGUCAACCCCAGCAAUGACAAGACACAGUCACCUGAAGUUGCUGGAAAUGAAUUGCAGAAGGCAAAAGCCAGAGGUUUUCUCCAUAUUAUGAAGGAUGGCACUGUCAUCAAAUUCACCUGCUUUCUUCGUGAUGUUCUAACCCAGCUCAGCAGUCAGUCCCAAUCUAUGCAGCACUCCUCUGUGACUGUGGCCGAAGUCCAUGAAUGCCUGUCCUCUAUACCUUGGAUUUAAUGUUUAAAUACAAAUCAAGACCUGUUUCUAAACUGAAGACCACGCUGGGAACAAACUGAUAUGAGGGUGUCAGUCUAAAGCCAUGUGAUGACCACACCUAAUAAGUUCAAAGACCACCUGAUAGACCUGCUGUCAAAGACAAUGGCUUGGAGAUGUCAGUCAUGAGAUUCAGCGUGCCAUGCGGAUUACCAACUUCCAAUACUGGCCAGAGGCAGGCAGAAAUGCUAGUGAGUUAAAAUUUUUAUAUUUAAAGUGACCAAUUCAAACAAAAUAUUCUACAUAAUUUUAUAUAUAUCAUAUACACUCAUUACGCAUCACUUUGAACCUGUGCUGCUGAGAUCUGGUGUAAAGGUGGGUGAAGUCCUGGUCCAAUAGACAGUUCUAAAGUCGAGGCUAUACCAGGACUUCAGUGCUCUACAAAACAUCUUUUGAUUGGAUUGAUCUCAUCCUUUGCAUCUCUGCUUCAACAGCAGAUUUUGAGCGGGGAUUUAGUGCCAUAAAGAAUGUCAAAAGUGACUGGCAGGCUGGUUUCCUAAGUCAGACAUUGUCAGACCUUCUCACGGUGCAGCUAUCCUCUGCUUCCAUCACAGACUUUGAUCCAGACUCAGCUAUCAAUUUGUGGCACAUUGAAAGCAUUCGGUCUCAAAGGCCAGCUUUCAUGGUUCAGAGAGACCAGCAGAAAGAAAAUGAUUCUGAUGAUGAAAGCUGUUAUGAUAUUUAAUAUACUUUACUUUCACCCCCACAUCCGUGUGCUAUUCAUUUACAUAUCAAAAUGUACAUUUGCUUUAAUUACUUUUGUAAUUUAUAAUGAAUGAGCUAAAAUGUUGUUUGUUCUAAAUUUUAGUGCAGAUUUAUUUUACACUCUGCAGCAACACAGUAUGUAUUGCUUUCAAAUAAUAAGUCAUAAAAGUAAUUAAAUAAAUAGUUAAAGUGUCUUUUUUCAGUUAAUCUUAUAUGCACCAUUGUUAUUGUAUUGCUUAAAAGUAAUCUAUUUUAAUGAAUAAUGUCUAGUGAUACAACAGGUAUAUUGUUGAAAAUGUUUAGGGAUUUAAUAGAAGUUUAGAAUUGAUUGACAGCUAUGCCUUAGUCCCGCCCCCAGAGACUGCCGCAACUUGUAGUUUCGCUCUAGUGCUACAGAGGACUCGUGAGAGGGCUCGUGAAAGGCAUUUGAGUCGCCAGAUGUAUCACAGCCAAGCUUAUGAGUAAACUACACACAUGCAUACUUAAAUUAACCCAUUAAAUACCUCUGACUGGACUCCUGGAUUAUGUGCAUUCUUACCGAUGCCCCAUAAUGAUCCCAAUCAAUAAGUGUGAACUAGUGAAUAGAGUUCAAACCCUAUCAAACAUAAUGUUAGUUAGUAUUUGAAGUAGAUCACAAAAAUGUUACAAAGCUGUCCUAAGACAAGAAUGGAUGUAACAAGCAUGACUGAUUUUAUUAAUGCAUUAGUAAAUGCUGUACAUAAAUUAUGCUGUACAGGUAUUGUUCAUAUAUUAGUUCACAUUUAAACCAUUAACAUUACUUAUAAAACCACUGUAAAAUGUAACUGUUGUAUGCAUGUUGUUAUAUUAUAUUUGUAUGUAUUUUAUAUUUAUUUUUUUA